Molecule: ribosomal RNA, 469 nt
Filed under: uncultured bacterium
Lineage: Bacteria
Description: partial 16S ribosomal RNA
Rfam family: Bacterial small subunit ribosomal RNA
Source: RNAcentral
GACGAACGCUGGCGGCGUGCUUAACACAUGCAAGUCGAACGGAAAGGCCCUGCUUGCAGGGUGCUCGAGUGGCGAACGGGUGAGUAACACGUGGGUGAUCUGCCCCUUACUUUGGGAUAAGCCUGGGAAACUGGGUCUAAUACUGGAUAGGACCAUGCUGUAGGUGGUGUGGUGGAAAGAUUAGUUUCGGUAAGGGAUGAGCUCGCGGCCUAUCAGCUUGUUGGUGGGGUAAUGGCCUACCAAGGCGUCGACGGGUAGCCGGCCUGAGAGGGUGGACGGCCACAUUGGGACUGAGGUACGGCCCAGACUCCUACGGGAGGCAGCAGUGGGGAAGAUUGCACAAUGGGGGCAAGCCUGAUGCAGCGACGCCGCGUGGGGGAUGACGGCCUUCGGGUUGUAAACUCCUUUCAGCCAUGACGAAGCCCUUGUGGUGACGGUAGUGGUAGAAGAAGCACCGGCUAACUACGUG